This 427-nucleotide ribosomal RNA is filed under the name uncultured prokaryote. Its description in RNAcentral is "bacterial SSU rRNA". It matches the Rfam family "Bacterial small subunit ribosomal RNA", at positions 355 to 774 of the family's 1533-position model. The record is from RNAcentral.
CUAAGAAUAUUCCGCAAUGGACGAAAGUCUGACGGAGCGACGCCGCGUGGAUGAUGAAGGCCGAAAGGUUGUAAAGUCCUUUUGCUGGGGAAGAAUAAGCGUGGGAGGGAAUGCCCGCGUGAUGACAUGAACCGGCGAAUAAGCCCCGGCUAACUACGUGCCAGCAGCCGCGGUAACACGUAGGGGGCAAGCGUUGUUCGGAAUUACUGGGCGUAAAGGGCAUGUAGGCGGCCUUGUAAGCUUGGCGUGAAAGUCCACGGCUUAACCGUGGGAUUGCGUUGAGAACUGCGAGGCUUGAGUGACGGAGAGGGAGCUAGAAUUCCUGGUGUAGGGGUGGAAUCUGUAGAUAUCAGGAAGAAUACCAAUGGCGAAGGCAAGCUCCUGGCCGAUGACUGACGCUGAGGUGCGAAAGUGUGGGGAUCAAACA